RNAcentral lists this ribosomal RNA (1384 nucleotides) under uncultured bacterium. RNAcentral describes it as "bacterial SSU rRNA". It matches the Rfam family "Bacterial small subunit ribosomal RNA", at positions 18 to 1396 of the family's 1533-position model. The record is from RNAcentral.
CCUGGCUCACGUUGAAGGCUAGCUACAGGCUUAACACAUGCAAGUCGAGGGGUAGCAUUUCAGUUUGCUUGCAAACUGGAGAUGGCGACCGGCGCACGGGUGAGUAACGCGUAUCCAACCUGCCGAUAACUCGGGGAUAGCCUUUCGAAAGAAAGAUUAAUACCCGAUGGCAUAAUUAGACCGCAUGGUCUUAUUAUUAAAGAAUUUCGGUUAUCGAUGGGGAUGCGUUCCAUUAGGCAGUUGGUGAGGUAACGGCUCACCAAACCUUCGAUGGAUAGGGGUUCUGAGAGGAAGGUCCCCCACAUUGGAACUGAGACACGGUCCAAACUCCUACGGGAGGCAGCAGUGAGGAAUAUUGGUCAAUGGGCGCAGGCCUGAACCAGCCAAGUAGCGUGAAGGAUGACUGCCCUAUGGGUUGUAAACUUCUUUUAUAUGGGAAUAAAGUUUUCCACGUGUGGAAUUUUGUAUGUACCAUAUGAAUAAGGAUCGGCUAACUCCGUGCCAGCAGCCGCGGUAAUACGGAGGAUCCGAGCGUUAUCCGGAUUUAUUGGGUUUAAAGGGAGCGUAGGUGGAUAGUUAAGUCAGUUGUGAAAGUUUGCGGCUCAACCGUAAAAUUGCAGUUGAUACUGGCUGUCUUGAGUACAGUAGAGGUGGGCGGAAUUCGUGGUGUAGCGGUGAAAUGCUUAGAUAUCACGAAGAACUCCGAUUGCGAAGGCAGCUCACUGGACUGCAACUGACACUGAUGCUCGAAAGUGUGGGUAUCAAACAGGAUUAGAUACCCUGGUAGUCCACACAGUAAACGAUGAAUACUCGCUGUGUGCGAUAUACAGUAAGCGGCCAAGCGAAAGCAUUAAGUAUUCCACCUGGGGAGUACGCCGGCAACGGUGAAACUCAAAGGAAUUGACGGGGGCCCGCACAAGCGGAGGAACAUGUGGUUUAAUUCGAUGAUACGCGAGGAACCUUACCCGGGCUUAAAUAGCAUUUGAAUAAUCUGGAAACAGGUUAGCCGUAAGGCAAAUGUGAAGGUGCUGCAUGGUUGUCGUCAGCUCGUGCCGUGAGGUGUCGGCUUAAGUGCCAUAACGAGCGCAACCCUUAUCUUUAGUUACUAACAGGUUAUGCUGAGGACUCUAGAGAGACUGCCGUCGUAAGAUGUGAGGAAGGUGGGGAUGACGUCAAAUCAGCACGGCCCUUACGUCCGGGGCUACACACGUGUUACAAUGGGGGGUACAGAAGGCAGCUACCUGGUGACAGGAUGCUAAUCCCAAAAGCCUCUCUCAGUUCGGAUCGAAGUCUGCAACCCGACUUCGUGAAGCUGGAUUCGCUAGUAAUCGCGCAUCAGCCAUGGCGCGGUGAAUACGUUCCCGGGCCUUGUACACACCGCCCG